GUCAACCUGAAGACCGCGCCUGCGAGCAGGUGGUGCUAGUCGGCGCGCGAUUAGGGGUGGUACUUACCAGCUAUAUAUCUUUCUCUAUAUUGGCAGCUUUAUCCCCGCCAUCCCACGCACAUCCAAAACGUUCGUUUGUUAUCCUGAACCGGCCCUGAUUGCAUGCUGCCUGAGCCAUUAUUACAACCUCAGCCAGCCGCAUCUUUUUGUGAGAAGUAAGAAGUAAGCAAGGCCCGCUGGAGCCGGGAAUGGGGCGCCGCUGGUCAUUUCGCGCGCGUGGGUACGCGGCCAGGUAUUUAGUGCGCAAUCAGAUGUGUUAUUAGCUAUAGGUGCACGCGGUACGUUCGUACACCGACGGAAGCAGCAGCUCGUAUUGAGAGGUUGGGUCUUCGGUAGUGAGAUCCAAUAUUGUUCUUCCUUACUUCACAACGUAAGGUCUGGAAUAUGUGGAGCGGGAUGAGUUAGACCUAGUAAGUACUACGUGGUAGAUGCUGGCCUACGGCACACACGUAUUAGUGUCCUUGCGUGUUUACCGCCUAUGGCGGGUGCAAGUGGCGGCGGCGAGAGGCGCAUAAUAAUAGCGGAUAGGAUAACCGCUGCAGACGGCCCGUGCUGGUUAAUAAAUGAAUGGGAUCGCCGACGUAACAUGGCUAGCGUGUUGCGUUAUCCUCGCUGCUGCAAGCAUGACCUUGCGCGCGCCUUAGCCAGCUGCAGCUGCUGAGCAACGAGCAGCUAAGCUGAUGCGCAUGUUUGAACAUAGGAUGCAGCCCAGCCAAAGCUACGCACUCCAGCCCAACCCCGCACCUCUACAUCAGCUCAAUUGAGGCUUUCAGCGACAGGAUUUGCAUGUCAUGAGAUGGUCUGGGCAGAUUUCGGCGCAAUAAUGGCCGACGACGUGCACUCAACUCGUUUGUGGCCCCAAAAAGACCAGGACAUUAUGACGAUGCAAGCUCACCCACCUAGGUCCACAUCCUCCCCUUGCCUUUAAACGUCCGCCGCUGUUAUACCGUUGUCAACCGUCACGCCCGCUCCCCGCGUAACUGGUUCCAAUAGCAGCGGCUGCGGCAGAUUGAGUACGCUGCUAUAUGAAGAGCUUCGGACGAGAGUCCUGCACGCCUUUGAGCCAAGCACCUGAAUUUGGUCAGCCAGGGGCGUUAUGGCGUGUUUUUGCCGAUCAGAGAGGUCCAAAUCAACCGUUGGAUGAGGAAGGUUUGAAUUUUUCCAUUCGUUGGGCGGCCUGAUAGAAUUCGCCGAGCAGCAAGGGAAGGAGGCGAGUAUACUCGCCUCCACUGAAACACUAUAGUGUUGCACCUAGCAGAAAAAUUAGGACGGUUAGGACGUAUGCACAGGCCACAUUAGUUAUAGGCGUCUUUCUGGCACCUUGACAAUGCCUUGUCCAGUCCUCUUUCUUGUGGAAUGGUCAGGAGACAACUUUGCUUGCCUGAAAAGGCCCACGUGGGAUGGCCAAGCAUUCGCCCAAGAGCUUAAAACCCUUUAAUACUGAUACGACUGUGUCCUCAAGAUAAGAUUAUGUUUAAAUUACGACCUAACAUGCGCUGGGAGAGACUCAGCCGAAAGUACCACGACGGGAGCUUAAACCGCCCAAUUUUAAAGUAAGUGACGAUGCUUGCAGCCUAUAAUUUCAUGUUCCAGAUUAGAGGAUCUCAACCAAAAGAGAGUUCGAUAUGCACGGGCAAGAAGUACAAGGGUUGUACAGCUGUCCCUAUGCCAACCUGCGG
RNAcentral lists this long non-coding RNA (1739 nucleotides) under Volvox carteri. Its description in RNAcentral is "long non-coding RNA (VCAR_LNC000472)". Lineage: Eukaryota; Viridiplantae; Chlorophyta; Chlorophyceae; Chlamydomonadales; Volvocaceae. The record is from RNAcentral.